CAGCAGCCGCGGUAAUACCGGCGGCCCGAGUGGCGGCUACUAUUAUUGGGCCUAAAGCGUCCGUAGCCGGGCUGGGAAGUCCUCCGGGAAAUCUGGUCGCUUUACGAUCAGACUUCCGGAGGAUACUGCUGGCCUAGGGACCGGGAGAGGCCGAGGGUAUUCCCGGGGUAGGGGUGAAAUCCUGUAAUCCCGGGAGGACCACCUGUGGCGAAGGCGCUCGGCUGGAACGGGUCCGACGGUGAGGGACGAAGGCCAGGGGAGCGAACCGGAUUAGAUACCCGGGUAGUCCUGGCUGUAAACGAUGCGGACUUUGUGUCGGACAAGCUAUGAGCUUGUCCGGUGCCGGAGGGAAACCGUUAAGUCCGCCGCCUGGGGAGUACGGCCGCAAGGCUGAAACUUAAAGGAAUUGGCGGG
RNAcentral lists this ribosomal RNA (414 nucleotides) under uncultured microorganism. RNAcentral describes it as "bacterial SSU rRNA". It matches the Rfam family "Archaeal small subunit ribosomal RNA", at positions 459 to 872 of the family's 1478-position model. The record is from RNAcentral.